This is a long non-coding RNA of Fukomys damarensis (Damara mole-rat), 278 nucleotides long. RefSeq lists it as uncharacterized. The record is from RefSeq and is a predicted model, not a curated record. The transcript is spliced from 3 exons. NCBI's taxonomy places the organism in Eukaryota, Metazoa, Chordata, Mammalia, Rodentia, Bathyergidae.
UGAGGUCACAGAGCCCGUGAGCGCCCACCCAGAUUAAUCUCUGAGGGAAAGGGCCUGAUGGGAUGAUGUGACAGAAGAGGGAGGACUGCAGGCGCUGCUGGAAGAGGGGGACUGUGAGUUCACCAAGUUCCCCAAGCUGCCCUCCAAUGUCUGAUCCUCCUGUGCCAGCGUCCUGAGCAGCUGCAAUUCCAGGCAUGUGCCACCUCGCCCAACUCACUAUCUGAAGCUUCAGGAGUCCCAGCAAUGAGCUGUCCUGUAGCCAGUUGUUAAAAAGGCCC